CUGUGAUUUAGCUGAGGUGAUGUCAUUUUGCAGGCGCUGUAUUUUCCUUUUCAACUCGUCUAUUGCACCUUUGUUGUUUUUCAGCUCUGUGCUGCACUGGUUAGCCUGAGAUGAAACCAAGUCAAACUGUGGAGGAAAACAGUGAUUCAGCAGAUGGGACCCUCCUCACCUUGUUCUUGUACCAGGCCUCGGCUUCUCUGCGACUGCAGGCUGAAAUCUCCUCAUACUGGCUCUUGACGUCAGCGAGGAUCUUCUCCAUGUUCAGAUUUCGGCUGUUGUCCAUCUGCACCACCACAGACGUGUCCUUCACCUCGUCCCGCAGCUCCUCCAGCUCCUACAGUCUGGUGUGAUUAACAGACCUUGUCGAUGAAGGAGGCGAAGCGGUUGUUGAGCGUCUUCAUCUGCUGUGUCUCCUGCAUGCGCACCGUCUGCAGCUCUGGGUCCAGCUGCAGAUCCACCGGCGCCAGCAGACUGCUGUUCACAGACACAGGUCUGAUCGGGGCUCCAGAUGCCGGCAUCAUGUUCCCAAAGCCGAAAUAAGAGUUUCCCUGCCGGGGGAUUGAGGCGUUGGAGCCCACAGAGCGGCUGCUGAAACUCAUGGCUAAACACACACACGCUGCUCCUGACAAUCCUGAUGCUUAUAUACUGACAGGUGGGUGUGUAUUUCUGCAUAAAUGAAGAUAAACCAGCAUUCCUCAGUCUGAAAAACCUGUUCAGCCCACCUGUUAUCCACAGCAAACAUACUAGACAUUCAUGCACGCUCACCUCACUCACAACUACUGUUUUCACAUUACAAAGAUAUCAGGUACUUAAAACGGCGAGGAUUUCCUGAAUGUGAUGGUGUAAAAUAUGUGAUGCAUGUGUUAUGGAUGUGCUAUUAGUUAAAUGUGGCUUAUUAGAGUCGCUGUUAAAUAUUUUCGUUGAUCUGAUGUGACUUAUUAGUGUCAUAUUGUGCCAUUCAUGCACAAUAGACAAUAAAUCAUAGACUGUU
This 991-nucleotide long non-coding RNA is filed under the name Danio rerio (zebrafish). Its description in RNAcentral is "si:ch73-272m14.2 (ENSDARG00000099934.2)". The record is from RNAcentral. Lineage: Eukaryota; Metazoa; Chordata; Actinopteri; Cypriniformes; Danionidae.